Long non-coding RNA from Anthonomus grandis grandis, 424 nucleotides. RefSeq lists it as uncharacterized. The record is from RefSeq and is a predicted model, not a curated record. Lineage: Eukaryota; Metazoa; Arthropoda; Insecta; Coleoptera; Curculionidae. The transcript is spliced from 3 exons.
GUUUGUGUUGAACAAGUUCGUUUAUCUUUAAAAAAUACACACAUCAAAAUGGUCUAGAGAAUAAUGUUAUGAAAAGGAAAUAAAUAAAGGAUUUCCAAAAGAUCCGACCUUAACCCCUUCUGACAAACAUGGAGCACCUUGGUAUCCGCCCCAGGCUCGAACUCAUGUCCGGUCUCAAUAAUAUGAUUGGCGAACGAGAAGAGAUUCAAGAAAGUAAUAAUCGUCAGAUACAUGUCAUUAGAAAAAAAGUAUUUCUGAUACUUACAGCAUCUUUAUACGUUUAAGGAGGUACACCUACGUCAAAUUCAAAUAAUAUGAAAUCUAUAGGACAUAUUUAAUUUAUUUUUUACCUUAGAUGUAAAAGUUUAUUUUUUUAAAAUUAUUUUUAUAUAAAAAUAUUCAUAGAACUUAAUUUAAAUGUAUU